Molecule: long non-coding RNA, 1016 nt
Filed under: Helianthus annuus (common sunflower)
Lineage: Eukaryota; Viridiplantae; Streptophyta; Magnoliopsida; Asterales; Asteraceae
Description: hypothetical non coding rna
Source: RNAcentral
CCUCAACUUUAUAAUUGGAAGAACAAAUACAAUCUCAAAGUCACGAGGCAUAAUGAUGAGACUUAUGAAAUUACAGUUUCUGGUAGUUCUUGUGUUGAUGAUUUGGUACCAGGGACCUUAGGUACUUAUGGAGCUUGCACAGAGAGGAGCAGGUCGUUGUGGGACAUGGAUUGAGGAUGCCAUGUUAAACGUUUAAACAUUUGAACUUAUGAUUUUCAUUAGGUUUACAUACUUCUGCUUCCGCUACUUAAAUUAUGUUUUUAUUGAACACCAGUUAUAUUGUGAUGGGUUGUAAUGAUUACUUUUAAUAUUUAAAUGUUGUGUUCAAUAUGAUUGGUGGCUUGAUCCUGGACAGUCACACUCCCAAGCGGUGAUACUCCGCGUGUGGAUUUUGGGGGUGUGAUAGAUUGGUAUCAGAGCCAUUAGUUAUAGAGAACUUGGUUUUAAUAUGGGGAAAACGUUUUUAUUAAAACCAGACUAUAACCAGAACAGUGCUCUCAACGAUCCACAAGACGCUUCGCUCCACGUGCAAGACUCAACAUCCUAGGUAAUAAGGUUUAUGUUUAUUGCCUACAUGCUAGAAUUACAUAGAACUUUGCUCGUGGUAUGCUUAGAAUACGUUGCCUACUAUUCGUUAUUGCUUGAGAACAAUUGAGUGCUUACUCUCUUCUGUCAUCGCACUACUCGCGAACCAAGUGGUGGGUUUGUUUUUUUUCACAACUAGAAAAUACAAGAACACAACCCUAGGCUCUCUCUCUCUCUCUCGUUUGCUUGGAACCCGACGGCGAACAACCCUUCUCGGCUCAUCCUCUCUUUGUUUCAAUCCAACCGGACCUUAGGUACAUUAUGGAGCUUGCACAGGGAGGAGCAGGUCGUUGUGGGAUAUGGAUCAUGAACGACAAUUGAACUUAUAACUAUUUUGGAGUUUACACUACUAUGCUUCCGCUACUUAAACAAUGUUUGGUUUGAAACAUCAAUCAUGUCAUGAUGAACUACCUUAAAUACUUUUAUUAUUA